Molecule: long non-coding RNA, 490 nt
Filed under: Ananas comosus (pineapple)
Lineage: Eukaryota; Viridiplantae; Streptophyta; Magnoliopsida; Poales; Bromeliaceae
Description: long non-coding RNA (ACOM_LNC005807)
Source: RNAcentral
GAUAUAGUUUUGGGGCUUUUUUAUAAAAUGACCCUCCAAAAAAUUAAAAUUGGCAAAAUGAUCCUGUAAAAAUUUUAUUUGUAAAACUAACCCUCCUUUCGCCACGUGGGUGCCACGUCAGGGUUUCCUUACAAAGACGGUGAAUCGUUUCCCGCUUUUAUCCAUUUCUUUUAAAAGCGGUGAAUCGUUUACCGCUUUCAUCGUUUACCGCUUUCUCCUAUUUCUUUUAAAGGCGGUAAAUCGUUCACCGCAUUCAUUAGAAUUGUGCGUGAAUUAUAUAGGAAAUAGAAAAAAGUGAGGUUGUUAGGAUUAUAUGUGGAUCAUUAGAAUUUUUAUUUGAUUAUUAGGAUUGUAUAGAUAGAUUAUUAGGAUUUUCAGGUUGUUAAGAUUAUAUGAAAUUAUAUGAAUAAAUUAUUAGGAUUUAAAGGUUGUUAAGAUUAUAUAUGAUUUGUUAGAAUUUUUAUGUGGUUGUUGGGAUUAUAUAUUAUAU